This is a long non-coding RNA of Lemur catta (Ring-tailed lemur), 101 nucleotides long. RefSeq lists it as uncharacterized. The transcript is spliced from 3 exons. Lineage: Eukaryota; Metazoa; Chordata; Mammalia; Primates; Lemuridae. The record is from RefSeq and is a predicted model, not a curated record.
GCAGAUUUUAGACUUUUCAGCCUCGAAAAUCAUGCUCCCUGCCAAUAGGCUGCAUGGGUAGCAAUGGAGUCUCACUGAUAAUUCAAAAGGUGGAAGAGGAG